RNAcentral lists this ribosomal RNA (468 nucleotides) under uncultured bacterium. RNAcentral's name for it is "partial 16S ribosomal RNA". It matches the Rfam family "Bacterial small subunit ribosomal RNA", at positions 29 to 507 of the family's 1533-position model. The record is from RNAcentral.
AACGAACGCUGGCGGCAUGCUUAACACAUGCAAGUCGAACGGAAAGGUCCUGCUUUUUUGCGCUGCUCUAGUUGCCAACGGGUGACUAACACUUGAGUACCCUGCCCUUCACUGUGGGAUAACUUAAGGCAACUGGGGCUAUUACCGCCUAGGAGUUCCUGCUGUUUGGUGGGGGUUGGAAAGUUUCGGCGGUUGGGGAUGUAAUCGCGGCGCAUCAGCUUGUUGGGUGGGUAGUGUCUUAGCAAGACAUUGACAGGUAGCCGGCCUGAGAGGGUGACCGGCCACAUUAGGACUGAGAUACGGCACAGACUCGUACGGGAGGCAGCGGUGGGGAAUAUUGCACUAGGGGCGGAGGCCUGGUGCAGCAAAGCCGCGUGCGGUAUGUCGUCCUGGGGGUUGUAUUGCACUGUCGCCUGUGACGAAACGUUAAUGACGGUAACGGGAAAAUAAGCACCGGCUAACUACGUG